Molecule: ribosomal RNA, 468 nt
Filed under: uncultured bacterium
Lineage: Bacteria
Description: partial 16S ribosomal RNA
Rfam family: Bacterial small subunit ribosomal RNA
Source: RNAcentral
GACGAACGCUGGCGGCGUGCUUAACACAUGCAAGUCGAACGGAAAGGCCCUGCCUUUGUGGGGUGCUCGGGUGGCGAACGGGACAGUAACACGAGAGUAACCUACCCUUCACUUUGGGAUAACUUCAGGAAACUAAGGCUAAUCUAAGACGGGAGCUCCUGCUGCAUGGGGGGGGUUGGAAAGUUUCGGCGGUUGGGGAUGGAUUCGCGGCUUAUCAGCUUGUUGGUGGGGUAGUGGCUGACCAAGGCUUUGACGGGUAGCCGGCCUGAGAGGGUGAGCGGCCACGUUGGGACUGAGACACGGCCCAGACGCGUAGGGUAGGCAGCAGUGGGGAAUAUUGUACAAUGGGCGGGAGCCGGAUGCAACGGCGCCGCGUGCGGGAUGACGGUCUUUGGGGAGUAAACCGCUUCCGCCUGGUACGAAGCUGGAGUGACGGUAACGGGAAAAGAAGCACCGGCUAACUACGUG